Molecule: transfer RNA, 87 nt
Filed under: Candidatus Woesearchaeota archaeon
Lineage: Archaea; Nanobdellati; Candidatus Woesearchaeota
Description: tRNA-Leu
Rfam family: tRNA
About the family: Transfer RNA (tRNA) molecules are approximately 80 nucleotides in length. Their secondary structure includes four short double-helical elements and three loops (D, anti-codon, and T loops).
Source: RNAcentral
GGCGGGAUCGCUUAGUCCGGCAAUAGCGCCCGACUCAAGAUCGGGUGUCGUCCCAACGACACGCGGGUUCAAAUCCCGCUCCCGCCG